AGAAAAGAAAGAGCAGCAAGAAAAAGGUUGAUGAGAAGAGAAGUGGAGUGAAGAGGGAAAAAGAGAGGGCUAGCUCACCAAGAGUUGUAGCUUCGUACGACCGGCAGUGAGAGCCGACAUGCCGUUCCCGCCGCAGGCACUCGUUAUCGUUGUUCGUCUGGUACCGGUUUGAGAGCUUCGAGACAAAGUUCCUUCGAGUUCCUUCUUCCCCUUUCAGCAUCUCUCCUUAAGCAUUUGUGCCUUCUUUCGCAUACAAGUGCUCUGUUGUACCGUGCGCGCCCUCGCUUCCAACAAGUAAUCUUUACUAAAGAGAAAAGGAUAUCAUAAGGAUAUCAUUGUAAUAGCGUUAAAACUUGGAAUAAUAUAAGGAUUAUAUUGUCAGUACCAAGAGGAUAAAAAAAAAAAAGGAAGCAAGAGAAAGAGAGCUACGUUUCCUGAAAUUAAAAAACAAGUUGGAGAGGAGACUUGUUCCUUAUCCUUUUAACAAUUUAAAAAGAUUACAAGAACUUCCUUCUUUCUCUCACACUCGUUCUGCUUUUUCUUUUUUUUUUUCACCUCUCCCACUUGCAACUCCUCCUGUAGCAUCCGCCUGCCUCUCUCUUCCUCUCUUUCUCAGUAUCCCCCUUGUUCCCACCUUUCCCCUAAACGUUCCUCGUCGAAGGCGCGAGGUAGACGGCACCGUGCGCUACGUAAACCGCGCACAGGGGAUUUCUAAAUUCCUUGGGCGCGGGAGAGUUUUAGCGAGGUUGUAAAUAUGGCGUGUGAACGGUGGUGCUCAGAACGUGGCGACUAUGAGGCGACCGGUUCUUCUUCUCCUUCACAAUGGCCUUACGUACUACUACUCCUGGUCGUUCUGCUUUGCUGUAGCUCGUCAUCCCUGGCGAUUGGUCAGUCUGAUUAUGAACACUAUGGAUAUUAUGGAAUCAUGUCAAAUGCAAAAUCAUCGAUCGAUUAUAAAUCUCCAUAUAUUUCCUUCAUUCCUGAAGGAGAACUACUCCAUAGAGAACGUCGGAAGGCUAUGGAUAACGACAAGAUAAAUUCCGAUAGAGAACCUCUAGUUGAAUUGACUGAUGACAAGAAGCAACAGCAACAGCAACAGCAGCAACAGCAACAGCAACAGCAACAGCAAGGGUCAGAACAAACUUCUAUUAAUCAUCAGAUAAAUAUGCAACUACAAUCGACGCUUCAACAAAACCUGAAACAACAGGAACAACAGCAACAGCAACCACAAAAAUCUCUUAAUGUAACACAAAACUCACAAUCAGAUAAUAGUUCCUAUUCGACGAUUAGUGGAGCACCAGAGAUUCACGAGGCAGUUUCUAGCACCACUCCAAGUAUAAUGGUUUCUACACAAAAAUCUGAAGUUACGUCCAAGAAGUCAGUUGUUGUAUCUCAGCCAAUGAAUCCAGUAACUGGAAGUGCUACACAGCAACGACCUGGUAACACCACUGAGGAAUCGGAUAUUAAUGAAGGAGGCUAUGUCAGUGAAGCAGUCAACAACGAUCAAAGCAAAAAGGUUCCAGAGGUUUCGGAGCCUACCACUGCAAAAGACAAUAGUAAUGAAAAGGAACAGUCAGAUACAGAUAUAGGUGACAUAUCCAUCACCAAGUUUUCUGAUAUGAAUUCAUUCAAUAAAUCACUCACACAAAACAAUAUCACCAAGACCGAGAUGGAUACACAUCAGUAUUACAACAGUUCAUUCAUAAUUGAUGAAAAAUUUGCAAAGUCAUAUUGGGUUGACAUGGAUAAUCAUCCUGAUCUUCGUGUUAAUAAUUUGCUUAGCAAAAGUCAUCGUCGUGCAGCAACCGUCAAAUUGAAAUUUGACUUCCCAUUCUAUGGUCACAAAGUUCGUAAUAUUACCAUUGCAACGGGUGGCUUUUUAUAUACUGGAGAGUAUGUACAUAGUUGGCUAGCUGCCACUCAAUACAUUGCACCACUUAUGGCGAAUUUCGACACAAGACUUUCCAAUGAAAGUUUUGUUAAAUAUGCCGAUAAUGGUUCUUCAUUUACGGUCGAAUGGGAAAAAGUUUAUCUGCAAGAGAAGCAGUCAGAUGGUUCAUUUACUUUCCAAGUAACUCUGCAUCAAAACGGUGACAUCGUUUUCGUCUAUUCUGUUAUUCCUUUCAUAGUAGAACAAAUAGAAGACACUACACAUCCUGUCAAGGUUGGACUCAGUGAUGCUUACAUUAUGGACAGGACAGUAUUCUUUGUUCGUCGAAAAACGAUCUACGAAUACCAUCGUGUCAAUUUCAACAGACAAGACAUCAAAAAUUGGACGGUCAUUUAUUUGCGUGCAUUACCCACUUGCUUGGAAAUGGAUAAUUGCCACGAUUGCAUAACAAAGUUAACAGAUUUUGAUUGCAAAUGGUGUCCCGAAUUGAAUCAGUGUAGUACUGGUACAUUCAGAUCACGACAAAACUGGCUAUUAAAAGGUUGUGACAUUAGACAUAUUAAAGAAGUGGACAAAUGUCCAUCACCAACGACUGUUUACAAGGAACAAGAAGAAGGACAUGAUCACGAUGGACAUGUGCAUACAGAAGAAGAUGCUAACAUAAGUAAAUCUAUCGUGAAGAAGAAAAGUCCAGGAAACAGUCCUUUAGAACAUACUCGAGAUAAUAUGAACAUGAGUGUGUCAGGUAUAAUUGGAAUUCUCCUUGUGGUCACUCUGAUUGCUGGUUUAGGAGGAUGGGUUGCAUAUGCAUAUCGUAAUCCUCACAGUGCAUCCGGACAAAUGUUAAUCAGGUACCGACCAAGUCAGUGGAGCUGGCGAAGAGGGGAAGCACGUUACACUGCUGCAACAAUCCAUAUGUGAUCACACAUAGGCAAAAUAUGAGAAAGUUAACAGAAAUGAAAGAAUACAGAACUGCUGGACCAAACUUCCUACUAAUUGUAUACUACUGUGAACACCAGACACGACAAAAGUACAUACCCAUCUAUAAAACGUUUGCUUGGACAAUGAGAGAAGCAUGUCCUUCCAGCAAAAUUUGCAAUAAUACAAAUGUUUUGACCAUGUCAACUUGUAAGCAAAUGAUGUGAUCCUUGAAGAAGAGAUUGCUGAAAAUGAUAUCAUUCCUACAAGAGGCAUCAAUGAAUGAAAUCUAUGAGUUACUUAUAUAAACUAUUUUAUAAACAAACCAAGGAUCAAUGAGCUCGAACUCGCAUUUGAUGGACUCAGAAGCAACAAUCAGGACACGAUAGUGGCAUGCAUAUUGCAUUAUUACAAAAG
This 3226-nucleotide unclassified non-coding RNA is filed under the name Polistes dominula (European paper wasp). RNAcentral describes it as "plexin domain-containing protein 2, transcript variant X1". Lineage: Eukaryota; Metazoa; Arthropoda; Insecta; Hymenoptera; Vespidae. The record is from RNAcentral.